AUGUACUCAUUGUUCUCAGAAAUAAGAAGUGUUGUCUGGAAAUUAAAACGGGUGUCUGAGGUUAUACUUUUUUCUUGCAUCUUGAUUCUUACAGUUAAGAACAAACAUGAUGUUGUUGCCUGUGUUUUCCUUAGAACCACAGAAUGGCUUGGGUUGGAAGGGACCUCAGUGAUCAUCCAGUUCCACCCCGUGCCGUGGGCAGGUUUGACAGCUUAUUUGGGCACCUUUAUGGGCACAGAGCUGUGGAUGCCUCUGCCCUUCACGAUGACUUUCCUCAAGUACUUGAUGAAGACAUACACUGUUCUGAACCACAUUUGAGGGUGUUCCCAACUAAGCUUGGUUAGAAUUUAAACUAAUAGGUGGGUGUUCCAUGAGAAGACAGACGACAAUUGGAACUGUAUCAGGCGCAUGUAGCAAACAA
RNAcentral lists this long non-coding RNA (421 nucleotides) under Numida meleagris (helmeted guineafowl). RNAcentral's name for it is "lncRNA (ENSNMEG00000020903.1)". Lineage: Eukaryota; Metazoa; Chordata; Aves; Galliformes; Numididae. The record is from RNAcentral.